GGAGGAGGACUCAGAAUAGGGAGUUAGCCAAGCCCCCAUAUGGGUGAAACAUGAUUUUCGCCCAUACGUCGAUUUAUCCAUACAUAGGAAGGGGGGAAUGUUCAAAAAGACGUGUACCUUUUUGCAAAAUACUGUUGUAACUGUAUUUCAUGUGGAUGCUCAUGUUCCUCUUGACUCAUUGGAACGUUUGUUUAAUUCUCAAGCAGAUGCUGAAGCGGCUAUUUACAACAUCCAACAAAGAAAUCAUUGAAAAAGAAACAUAAUGGUUCUCAUUUCACUGGAAAACAAGUAAAGGAUUAUGCAACUGACAAUAAUAUAGAAUGGGUAUAUCAUAUUCCCUACUAUCCCCAAGCAGCAGGGUUAUUCGAAAGAAUGAAUGGUAUUCUGAAAGCAACCCUAAAGAAAUUAUCAGGAAAGGAUAACGUAUUUGGUCAAUGGAGAGAUAAUUUAUCCGAAGCCUUACAAAUUAUCAAUAAUAGGCCUAUAACUGAUUCCACUACUCCAUUGAUGAGAAUGUUAACUCCAAAUUUAGAAGUAUCAGCUGCAAAAAUUGAUAGUAUCAUCUAUUGGAAAUUACAUAAGGAUGCCCAAGCACCUUAUCGAGGAACACCAGCAUUGGUUGGACUAGAUUUAUAUUCUGUUGAUACUAUAAUAAUUGCACCUGGACAAGUAAAAAUGAUUCCUACUUGAUAAAAGAGCCUUUUGUGGCCAGCCCCCUUUCAUAAGGCUCUCAAAAGGAGAUAAGAUUACUGUACGUUUCUGUGCCAGAAAACAGGAUAUAAAGUGUCGAACCUGAAGGAAUUCAAAAAAUCUUAUUGGGAUUUCUGGUGUUUUGGCUUGCAGGUCUCCGAACUGGAGAACAUGGGAGGCAUCCCUAAUAAAGAACCAUUGGUGUUUCCUUGGAAUCCUUGGGAUCUGGUGUUUGGCAUCAAACGGAAGCGCAUGGACUCCGGGGAUACGAGUGACUAAUACCCAUAAUUCCACUCGCAAUUGGGGAUGGAAAAAUGAUACUUCUAAUCGAACAGAAUAUAUGGACCACUUAAGAAAAAUGGGUAUACAAAACGUAACUGGACAAUAUAAUUGGACUUUUACUGCCAAUAGUAAAUGGAUAAUAUGUGCAAAUGCUACUAACAUUGCUUAAAGAAGAGUACCUUGGCAAUCUUUAUUGCAUGUCUGGAAUAUAGAUUCUGCUACUCAAAACCUCGGACAUAAUAAAAGAUUGCCGGCUACCUCUAUACCUGUUGCUACAAUAGGACAAAAAAUUAUAUUGCAUAUUAAUAUUUUAUUUCCUGCCAAGAGAUCAUAUCAUAAUGCGAGACGUAAAAGAGCAUGGUAUGAUACCCUUUUAGGGGGAUAUGGUACAUUGGCAGGAACGUUAAAUAGUUUUGACAUAGAAACUUUAGCUAAUAGAAUGCACAAGGCAGGAGGCUUAACUAAUGAUGCUGUAAUGUGGCAAGCUAAAUGGAUGCCAACUAUUUGGGCCCCAUUACAACAACAAGUUGAAAUUGAUAAAAAUAUCAAUAAUAUGGAAUUGGAAGUUAAUAAUUUCAGUUUGAAUUUUGAUACUAACAUGACAAAAUUUGUUAACUGGACAGUAUGUACAUUGCAGACUAUUUAUGAACAACAACAAAAAGAUAAUAUGAAAACUUUAGUAAUGACGGGUAAUGAACAAGUAUGGAGAACCGUGUUUAAUAGAACACAAGAAUGGAUACAAAUAUAUCCACAUCAAAUGGUCUGCAAUGACACCAUAUGUAAAGGAACUGUGAUACUGUUUAAUAUAACACGUCCCACUAUUAUGUGUAAAUAUAUAGUAAUGCCUUUAAUUAUCUCUGGAUAUUUUGGCAGCCUUUAUUUGUAGGACCAUAUAUAGAGAACAAAAAUAGAACACACAAUUUAGAAAAUUGUGAAGAUACAUAUAAUGGGAAAGUUUGUAAAUUACAGUAUAUGAACCAUGUUUAUUACAAAAUACGAUUAAUGUAUGUGAAUGGACAAUAUUCCCAAUAACUUAUAAAUGGAUGGUGGAAAUUGCCCCACAAACUAUUUGUAUGGCAACCAGUACACCAGUGAUUGGGAAAAUGAUAGUACCAUUUUCAGGAUGUUUACAGAAUGUGUCAUUAAUCACAUGGGAAAAUGAAACGUUUGUCUUAACUCAAGAUAUAGAUUUGUCUAUAAAUAUCGAAUUUUUCUCCUCCUGAAAUGUUAGAAUGAAUCAAUGGAAUUUUAAUUUGUCUAAAUUAGAAGAAAUAAUUAAUAAAUCUAAUAUGGUUUCUCAAGCUAUACAGUCGCUUAAUCAGAGCCUUGCGAGUCACAUGCUUAGUACAACUAUUAUCAGUAAUAAAUUAAUUAAAAUAGGAUCUGCCAUAGCAGAUGCUACAUCCCAUCAUUGGUGGGACAUGUUCACUGGAUACUCUCCCUCUGCUAAACAAAUGUUAAAUUGGAUAAUACAUCCAGUAUUAAUUUUAUGCGCAGUGAUAAUUCUAUUAUCACUGUGGAAUUGUUUUAUCGCUUAUAAAUUGUUUUGUAAGCCACCAAGAGCUUUACCAGUCACAUACAGCACAGGUCAUUAAGGACCGAUUGUGAUACGAGUCUGAUGUACUUGAUGAUGAAUGAGUGAUAAGUAACAGAAAGAUAAAAUAACAUCAGAUAGUAUAGAUAGUAAUGGCCUGUGCUGCAGUUACUGUUAAUAAAGAAUAAAGGUUAUUAGAGUACAAACUUGUUGUUGAGCAGAGGGAUGGAUGAUUCACUGACCCUGAAAUACUAUAAUAUUAUGAUUGGACACGGAGUGGCGGACAUGCGCCACACCUCUUCAAAAUAACAUACUACGCAUGUCUGACUCGUGAUUUUUAUAUAACUAUUGCGCAUAACCGUAAGCUAGUAACUAGAUAGCACAAUAUAAUGAAGCUCGUGCAUGAUGCACGAGCCGAUGUAAUAUGUUGUAACAACUGCGCAUGAAUAAUCACGUGUAUUGAAACUAAGACAAUAAAAGAAGGGGAUUUCCAGGAGGAGAACGGGAUAAUUUGUUGGUAGACGCCUGAUCAAUGUCUCGUUGUGAGGUUCCCGGAAUUCUCCUCCUGUGCAGAAUCCCCAGCCGUGGAGUGAUGUUAGAAUAUCCGGUGAUGUAUUGAUGUUAACUCUUUUAUUAUAAUAUACUUAAACAGUUGUACUGUCUUAAUACUAUGUGUACUAAUUAAUUUAAUAAACCACUCUUAUUGAUUUUGA
Long non-coding RNA from Xenopus laevis (African clawed frog), 3219 nucleotides. RefSeq lists it as uncharacterized. The record is from RefSeq and is a predicted model, not a curated record. The transcript has 2 exons. NCBI's taxonomy places the organism in Eukaryota, Metazoa, Chordata, Amphibia, Anura, Pipidae.